Molecule: non-coding RNA, 107 nt
Organism: Marasmius sp. AFHP31
Lineage: Eukaryota; Fungi; Basidiomycota; Agaricomycetes; Agaricales; Marasmiaceae
Source: the annotation of a GenBank genome assembly
GGCGCUAUAGCCAAGUGGUUACGGCGACAGAUUAGAAUCCACGCGCCUGAUUGCUUCUGUCUAUCUGUUCCUCUUUGAGGGCGCAGGUUCGAAUCCUGCUGGCGUCG